Molecule: ribosomal RNA, 618 nt
Filed under: Pantoea sp. DJM1E12
Lineage: Bacteria; Pseudomonadati; Pseudomonadota; Gammaproteobacteria; Enterobacterales; Erwiniaceae
Description: bacterial SSU rRNA
Rfam family: Bacterial small subunit ribosomal RNA
Source: RNAcentral
CUUGAGGCGUGGCUUCCGGAGCUAACGCGUUAAGUCGACCGCCUGGGGAGUACGGCCGCAAGGUUAAAACUCAAAUGAAUUGACGGGGGCCCGCACAAGCGGUGGAGCAUGUGGUUUAAUUCGAUGCAACGCGAAGAACCUUACCUGGCCUUGACAUCCAGAGAACUUAGCAGAGAUGCUUUGGUGCCUUCGGGAACUCUGAGACAGGUGCUGCAUGGCUGUCGUCAGCUCGUGUUGUGAAAUGUUGGGUUAAGUCCCGCAACGAGCGCAACCCUUAUCCUUUGUUGCCAGCGGCUCGGCCGGGAACUCAAAGGAGACUGCCGGUGAUAAACCGGAGGAAGGUGGGGAUGACGUCAAGUCAUCAUGGCCCUUACGGCCAGGGCUACACACGUGCUACAAUGGCGCAUACAAAGAGAAGCGACCUCGCGAGAGCAAGCGGACCUCAUAAAGUGCGUCGUAGUCCGGAUUGGAGUCUGCAACUCGACUCCAUGAAGUCGGAAUCGCUAGUAAUCGUAGAUCAGAAUGCUACGGUGAAUACGUUCCCGGGCCUUGUACACACCGCCCGUCACACCAUGGGAGUGGGUUGCAAAAGAAGUAGGUAGCUUAACCUUCGGGAGG